AAGUUCAUCAUGCUCGUGCGGAAAGUGCGACUGUUUGGUCGCAAUCAACGUAAAUUUAAGAAUAUUUGGAUAUACAGGGUGUUUCCUAAGAUUUUAAUUGAAAUAUAUAUAAGAAUGACCCGCUCGAAGAAAAUGCGAGGAGGGCAAAGUCAUCCAUAAUUAACCAGGAAAAAGGAUAUUUAACGGAUAGCGGUAAAGGAUCCUUAUCCUCGCAACGGCAAAGUGCACCUGGGCCCGCACUUUUUGAAUCUGCUGGUGAACGAGUAGUUACCGCGCAGGAGAUAAGUACUCGUUAGGAAUCGUCAAGGCGUGACAACUUGAUGCGUAUGCGCUAAAGGGCUCUGCGAUAAAAAAAGAUAGAAGAAAAUAAGGCCUCGCUGUGAGUGUCAAUGAUUUAUUUUCCGUUACAUUACAGCACUCUCCUAACA
Long non-coding RNA from Ooceraea biroi (clonal raider ant), 428 nucleotides. RefSeq lists it as uncharacterized. The record is from RefSeq and is a predicted model, not a curated record. NCBI's taxonomy places the organism in Eukaryota, Metazoa, Arthropoda, Insecta, Hymenoptera, Formicidae.